This 1057-nucleotide ribosomal RNA is filed under the name Coconut lethal yellowing phytoplasma. RNAcentral describes it as "bacterial SSU rRNA". The stretch from base 1 to 928 matches the Rfam family "Bacterial small subunit ribosomal RNA", at positions 603 to 1533 of the family's 1533-position model. The record is from RNAcentral. Lineage: Bacteria; Bacillati; Mycoplasmatota; Mollicutes; Acholeplasmatales; Acholeplasmataceae.
CAACGCUUAACGUUGUCCCGCUAGAGAAACUACUAGACUAGAGUAAGAUAGAGGCAAGCGGAAUUCCAUGUGUAGCGGUAAAAUGUGUAAAUAUAUGGAGGAACACCAGAGGCGUAGGCGGCUUGCUGGGUCUUUACUGACGCUGAGGCACGAAAGCGUGGGGAGCAAACAGGAUUAGAUACCCUGGUAGUCCACGCCGUAAACGAUGAGUACUAAGUGUCGGGGGUUUCCUCGGUACUGAAGUUAACACAUUAAGUACUCCGCCUGAGUAGUACGUACGCAAGUAUGAAACUUAAAGGAAUUGACGGGAUCCCGCACAAGCGGUGGAUCAUGUUGUUUAAUUCGAAGAUACACGAAAAACCUUACCAGGUCUUGACAUUAUCCUGCGAAGCUAUAGAAAUAUAGGGGAGGUUAUCAGGAUAACAGGUGGUGCAUGGUUGUCGUCAGCUCGUGUCGUGAGAUGUUAGGUUAAGUCCUAAAACGAGCGCAACCCUUGUCGUUAGUUACCAGCACGUUAUGGUGGGGACUUUAGCGAGACUGCCAAUGAAAAAAUUGGAGGAAGGUGAGGAUUACGUCAAAUCAUCAUGCCCCUUAUGAUCUGGGCUACAAACGUGAUACAAUGGCUAUUACAAAGAGCAGCUGAAACGUGAGUUGUUAGCUAAUCUCAAAAAAAUAGUCUCAGUUCGGAUUGAAGUCUGCAACUCGACUUCAUGAAGUUGGAAUCGCUAGUAAUCGCGAAUCAGCAUGUCGCGGUGAAUACGUUCUCGGGGUUUGUACACACCGCCCGUCAAACCAUGAAAGUUGACAAUACCCAAAACCAGUCGCUUAACUACUUCGGUAGAGGGAGCUGUCUAAGGUAGGGUCGAUGAUUGGGGUUAAGUCGUAACAAGGUAUCCCUACCGGAAGGUGGGGAUGGAUCACCUCCUUUCUAAGGAAAUGUCGUAUCAUGAUCAUCUUCAGUUUUGAAAGACUUAGAGUAGAUAAGUUUUUCUUUUGGCGUAGAGGAAGGGCCUAUAGCUCAGUUGGUAGAGCACACGCUUGAUAAGCGUGCGGUCAA